This 433-nucleotide ribosomal RNA is filed under the name uncultured bacterium. Its description in RNAcentral is "partial 16S ribosomal RNA". It matches the Rfam family "Bacterial small subunit ribosomal RNA", at positions 29 to 507 of the family's 1533-position model. The record is from RNAcentral.
AACGAACGCUGGCGGCAUGCCUAACACAUGCAAGUCGAACGAGACCUUCGGGUCUAGUGGCGCACGGGUUCGUAACGCGUGGGAACCUGCCCUUAGGUUCGGCAUAACUCCCCGAAAGGGGUGCUAAUACCGGAUAAUGUCUUCGGCCCAAAGAUUUAUCGCCUUUGGAUGGGCCCGCGUUGGAUUAGCUAGUUGGUAGGGUAAAAGCCUACCAAGGCGACGAUCCAUAGCUGGUCUGAGAGGAUGAUCAGCCACACUGGGACUGAGACACGGCCCAGACUCCUACGGGAGGCAGCAGUGGGGAAUAGUGGACAGUGGGCGAAAGCCUGAUCCAGCUAUGCCGCGUGAGUGAUGAAGGCCUUAGGGUUGUAAAGCUCUUUUACCCGGGAUGAUAAUGACAGUACCGGGAGAAUAAGCUCCGGCUAACUCCGUG